Molecule: ribosomal RNA, 253 nt
Filed under: uncultured bacterium
Lineage: Bacteria
Description: partial 16S ribosomal RNA
Rfam family: Bacterial small subunit ribosomal RNA
Source: RNAcentral
UACGUAGGGGGCUAGCGUUGUCCGGAAUCAUUGGGCGUAAAGAGCGCGUAGGCGGCUGGAAUAGUCCGGUGUGAAAUCCACAGGCUUAACCUGUGAAUGCCGCUGGAAACUGUCUGGCUAGAGUCCGGAAGGGGCGAGUGGAAUUCCUGGUGUAGCGGUGAAAUGCGCAGAUAUCAGGAAGAACACCCGUGGCGAAGGCGGCUCUCUGGGACGGUACUGACGCUGAGACGCGAAAGCGUGGGGAGCGAACAGG